UCACUUCCAACAACGGAUCUCUUGGCUCUCGCAUCGAUGAAGAACGUAGCGAAGUGCGAUAAGUAAUGUGAAUUGCAGUAUUCCGUGAAUCAUCGAACCUUUGAACGCAUAUUGCACUUUCUGGUAUUCCGGAAGGUAUGCCUGUUUGAGGGUCAGUU
Molecule: ribosomal RNA, 158 nt
Filed under: uncultured Glomus
Lineage: Eukaryota; Fungi; Glomeromycota; Glomeromycetes; Glomerales; Glomeraceae
Description: 5.8S ribosomal RNA
Rfam family: 5.8S ribosomal RNA
About the family: 5.8S ribosomal RNA (5.8S rRNA) is a component of the large subunit of the eukaryotic ribosome. It is transcribed by RNA polymerase I as part of the 45S precursor that also contains 18S and 28S rRNA. Functionally, it is thought that 5.8S rRNA may be involved in ribosome translocation.
Source: RNAcentral